AACGCUGGCGGCACGCCUAACACAUGCAAGUCGAGCGAGAAAGUGACUUCGGUCGCGAGUAAAGCGGCGAACGGGUGAGUACAACGUGGAUAAUCUACCCUAAGGUCUGGGACAACCCCGAGAAAUCGGGGCUAAUACCGGAUAAGACCACAGUAUCCAAGGAUACAGCGGUAAAAGAUUUAUCGCCUUUGGAUGAGUCCACGCCCCAUCAGGUAGUUGGUAAGGUAAAGGCUUACCAAGCCUAAGACGGGUAGCCGGCCUUAGCGGGUGAACGGCCACAUGGGGACUGAGACACGGCCCUGACUCCUACGGGAGGCAGCAGUGGGGAAUAUUGGGCAAUGGGCGAAAGCCUGACCCAGCGAUGCCGCGUGAGGGAUGAAGGCCUUCGGGUUGUAAACCUCUGUCAGGAGGGACGAUGGGACUUUGUCUUGACGGUACCUCCAGAGGAAGCCCCGGCUAACUCCGUGCCAGCAGCCGCGGUAAUACGGAGGGGCAAGCGUUGCUCGGAAUUACUGGGGCGUAAAGGGUCCGCAGGCUGUCAGGCAAGUUGGUUGUGAAAUCCCAAGGCUUA
RNAcentral lists this ribosomal RNA (571 nucleotides) under uncultured bacterium. RNAcentral's name for it is "bacterial SSU rRNA". It matches the Rfam family "Bacterial small subunit ribosomal RNA", at positions 32 to 611 of the family's 1533-position model. The record is from RNAcentral.